Molecule: long non-coding RNA, 556 nt
Organism: Hibiscus syriacus
Lineage: Eukaryota; Viridiplantae; Streptophyta; Magnoliopsida; Malvales; Malvaceae
Exons: 2
Source: RefSeq, a predicted model, not a curated record
UUAAGAGCUUCUAAGUGAGUGAAGAAGCAAAGUCUUAUAAGAGUUAUCCCUAUCGACAAAGUGACGGGAUCAUUCAUCAAGUCUAGCGAGAUGGGACAGCGGAAUUCUCUCGGAACACUCAACUCAAUCUCAGCAUUUUCGUUCCUUUGCGGUUUCCCUUCACGUUUUGCAGCUCUUCUUCUCCUCCAAGAAGAUAUCAUCAUUGGUUUUUUUGGAUUUGGUGAAGUGAUGGAGGCAACAAACAUAUAUGUUGUGAUAUUACUGGGAUUUGUUCAACAUUUAGGAGCUGAAAAGAAAAUUAUUAAAUUAGGAAAAAGAAACAUGAAAAUUAGAAUGUACGAAGAGAGAGGUUUGAAUUUUUUACCGUUGAAUGGGUACUAAAAAGUAAAAAAAAAAAAUGAUAAAUGCAAUUCGCAAAUGUUGAAAUGGUAAAAGGGUGCGGAUUUUGGAAGCAGAAAAUCAAAAACUGUGACCAAACCCCAACCCAUCACAAAAGGCGUCGUCAAUGUAAGGAUGGAGGACUAAAAUUCUAUUCGAAAAAAUUAAUUUUUUAUUU